GGUUGUAUAGUGUAGUGGUUAUCACCUUGGAUUCUGACGAAAGCUCAGCUAACUUCCAGUAACCCCGGUUCGAGUCCGGGUACGACCU
This 88-nucleotide transfer RNA is filed under the name Yarrowia lipolytica. It matches the Rfam family "tRNA". Rfam says of the family: Transfer RNA (tRNA) molecules are approximately 80 nucleotides in length. RNAcentral also lists the same sequence under 1 other name. Lineage: Eukaryota; Fungi; Ascomycota; Dipodascomycetes; Dipodascales. The record is from Rfam by way of RNAcentral.